CCUACGGGUGGCAGCAGUGAGGAAUAUUGGUCAAUGGCCGUAAGGCUGAACCAGCCAAGUAGCGUGAGGGAAUACUGCCCUAUGGGUUGUAAACCUCUUUUAUGCGGGGAUAAAGGUGUCCACUUGUGGAUGUUUGCAGGUACCGCAUUAAUAAUGAUCGGCUAACUCCGUGCCAGCAGCCGCGGUAAUACGGAGGAUCCGAGCGUUAUCCGGAUGUGUUGGGUUUAAAGGGAGCGUAGAUGGGUUGUUAAGUCAGUUGUGAAAGUUUGCGGCUCAACCGUAAAAUUGCAAUUGAUACUGGCAGUCUUGAGUACAGUUGAGGUAGGCGGAAUUCGUGGUGUAGCGGUGAAAUGCUUAGAUAUCACGAAGAACCCCGAUUGCGAAGGCAGCUUACUAAACUGUGACUGACAUUGAUGCACGAAAGUGUGGGUAUCAAACAGGAUUAGAUACCCCAGUAGUC
This 460-nucleotide ribosomal RNA is filed under the name uncultured bacterium. RNAcentral describes it as "partial 16S ribosomal RNA". It matches the Rfam family "Bacterial small subunit ribosomal RNA", at positions 338 to 795 of the family's 1533-position model. The record is from RNAcentral.